ACCGUGAGACAGGUGCUGCAUGGCUGUCGUCAGCUCGUGUUGUGAAAUGUUGGGUUAAGUCCCGCAACGAGCGCAACCCUUAUCCUUUGUUGCCAGCGGUCCGGCCGGGAACUCAAAGGAGACUGCCAGUGAUAAACUGGAGGAAGGUGGGGAUGACGUCAAGUCAUCAUGGCCCUUACGACCAGGGCUACACACGUGCUACAAUGGCGCAUACAAAGAGAAGCGACCUCGCGAGAGCAAGCGGACCUCAUAAAGUGCGUCGUAGUCCGGAUUGGAGUCUGCAACUCGACUCCAUGAAGUCGGAAUCGCUAGUAAUCGUGGAUCAGAAUGCCACGGUGAAUACGUUCCCGGGCCUUGUACACACCGCCCGUCACACCAUGGGAGUGGGUUGCAAAAGAAGUAGGUAGCUUAACCUUCGGGAGGGCGCUUACCACUUUGUGAUUCAUGACUGGGGUGAAGUCGUAACAAGGUAACCGUAGGGGAACCUGCGGUUGGAUCACCUC
This 503-nucleotide ribosomal RNA is filed under the name uncultured bacterium. RNAcentral's name for it is "bacterial SSU rRNA". It matches the Rfam family "Bacterial small subunit ribosomal RNA", at positions 1026 to 1529 of the family's 1533-position model. The record is from RNAcentral.